CCCUUAGAUGUUCUGGGCUGCACGCGCGCUACACUGAUGCGCUCAACGAGUUUAUGACCUUGCCCGGAAGGGUUGGGUAAUCUUCUUAAAACGCAUCGUGAUGGGGAUAGAUUAUUGCAAUUAUUAAUCUUCAACGAGGAAUUCCUAGUAAGCGCGAGUCAUCAGCUCGUGCUGAUUACGUCCCUGCCCUUUGUACACACCGCCCGUCGCACCUACCGAUUGAAUGACUCGGUGAAAUAUCGGGACCGUUGUCUGGUUUGAUUCAUUUCGAACUAGAUAGUGGGAACUUUCUUUAACCUAUUUAUUUAGAGGAAGGUGAAGUCGUAACA
This 329-nucleotide ribosomal RNA is filed under the name uncultured eukaryote. RNAcentral describes it as "partial 18S ribosomal RNA". It matches the Rfam family "Eukaryotic small subunit ribosomal RNA", at positions 1470 to 1796 of the family's 1831-position model. The record is from RNAcentral.